Rosa rugosa (rugosa rose) is the source of this 998-nucleotide RNA transcript. RefSeq lists it as uncharacterized. The record is from RefSeq and is a predicted model, not a curated record. Lineage: Eukaryota; Viridiplantae; Streptophyta; Magnoliopsida; Rosales; Rosaceae. The transcript has 4 exons.
CGUCUUAGUGGACCGCUCUCUCACUCUCUCUCAUCUGCACCACUUCCUCGUCGAAUGAAACAAAUUCACUCACCACGGAUGGGUGAUUCUCUCACCUUCUCGAUCUGCCUCUACAUUCUUUUGCUGAAUCUGUUUUCCCUCAAACCCUCGUUUUCUCCACAGCCCCUCUUGCUCUUUUUCUCCGGUCUUGAUGUCACCCACCAAAUUGAACUUCGAAGAACUUCAUGGCCCUCGGGUUGACUUGGAUUCAGGGAUUAUUCUUUUUGGGUAAUCUCAAUUUAAGUCUCCUCUCUUGUCGAACCCGAUGAUUCAGAUUCGAUGGCCGGGUCAUUUGUGUGAGGCUCGUCCGAGCGGCAUGCGAAGGCACUUGAUCGAAGGAGCAGUAGCAACAUGUUCCCUUCCACCUCUAUCGCUCAUUCUGAUGAAUAUUACAAAUCUGAUCAAAGAAAGCAUAAGAAUGGGCUACAAUGAUUUUGGAGAUUUCCAUUAUUCUCAUGGCAACUUGGGGAUGCUUUUAAGAGCUAUGUUUGUACUCCUGAUUAUUGUCCUACAUCAAAGCAUACUGUUCAUAUGUGCAUGUGUUCCAUUCUGGUCAGCAUAGAGAUGGGUCAAUUUACUCAUGUCGCAAGCAAUGUUAGAAAAGCAUAACAAACACUAGAAGCUAUGUCGCAAGCUAUGAUAAUCUUCACAAGGACUUAAAAAUUUCAAUAAAGCUGUCAGGGUACUUAUCAUUUGCCUUAAGAAGAUUGAUAAUGACAACUAUCUUGAGAAAAUGAUAGAUCAAGGCUUUUGAGUAGCAGAUGAUUAGAUUAAAGCCCUGAAGUCUGGUUCCACCUCUCUCUCUCUCUCGCUCUCUCUCUCUCUCUCCCUCUCUCUCUCUCUCUCUCUCUCCCCUUCUCCUUAGUGUGUACCAAUGCAUUAAUUGAAGCCCUUAUGGGUCUUUCUCUAUUUGUUAUUUCAAAUUUACUUAGAUUACUUUUGAUGCUUCCUGCUUGAAU